GGAUUCUCCUCUUUACCUUUCCUCUUUCUUUCUUUUGUUGUAGCUUCAUUUCACUACUCUCGAUCUCUCUCUUCUUUACUUCUCUUUUAUCUAUAUCUGUCUUUCUAUCUCUCUAUCUAAUUAAUGGCCUUUAAUUUCUUUCUCUCUGGCUCUACAGAUGUAUAGAACUGUUAAAUCCACCGACAAACCUCCAGCUUCCUCGGGCCAAUCAGAAGGCUCAGGCGAAGAAGAUUCUGCUCUUGGGAAUGGCAGUCUCAGCUUCUGUCGGUUAAUGGAGCACAAAGGAUCAGAUGGACCAAUCCAACUAAAUGACAUAGACUCGAAUACUAGAUGGAGCAACUCAUCUAGCACAGGAGCUUGGAUGCAAACCAAUUCAAGGGAAAUGGAGGGCCAUAGAGCAAUUUUCACGUCUCAGACAGAGGUACUUACGAGAGCAAUGACUUUGUGGAUAUCACAUGCACCGCACACAAAACACACGCACGCAGAUAGAGAGAUAUGGAUGGAUAUAUAUAUAUAUAUAGAGAGAGAGAGAGAGACUGUUAAGUUAUCAGGUUUUGACAUGAACUUGUACUUCAAUAUAAAAUCAUCUGCUUUACCAAAAAAAAAAA
Molecule: non-coding RNA, 608 nt
Organism: Elaeis guineensis (African oil palm)
Lineage: Eukaryota; Viridiplantae; Streptophyta; Magnoliopsida; Arecales; Arecaceae
Source: RefSeq, a predicted model, not a curated record